UGGCUCAGCAGUUAAGAGCACUGGCUGAUCUUCCAGUGGGCCUGGGUUCAAUUCCCAG
Molecule: transfer RNA, 58 nt
Filed under: Cricetulus griseus (Chinese hamster)
Lineage: Eukaryota; Metazoa; Chordata; Mammalia; Rodentia; Cricetidae
Source: Rfam by way of RNAcentral